Molecule: ribosomal RNA, 481 nt
Filed under: uncultured bacterium
Lineage: Bacteria
Description: partial 16S ribosomal RNA
Rfam family: Bacterial small subunit ribosomal RNA
Source: RNAcentral
ACGAACGCUGGCGGCGCGCCUAACACAUGCAAGUCGAACGAGCGAGAGAGAGCUUGCUUUCUCGAGCGAGUGGCGAACGGGUGAGUAACGCGUGAGGAACCUGCCUCAAAGAGGGGGACAACAGUUGGAAACGACUGCUAAUUCCGCAUAAGCCCACGGCUCGGCAUCGAGCAGAGGGAAAAGGAGCAAUCCGCUUUGAGAUGGCCUCGCGGCCGAUUAGCUAGUUGGUGAGGUAACGGCCCACCAAGGCGACGAUCGGUAGCCGGACUGAGAGGUUGAACGGACACAUUGGGACUGAGACACGGCCCAGACUCCUACGGGAGGCAGCAGUGGGGAAUAUUGCACAAUGGGGGAAACCCUGAUGCAGCGACGCCGCGUGGAGGAAGAAGGUCUUCGGAUUGUAAACUCCUGUUGUUGAGGAAGAUAAUGACGGUACUCAACAAGGAAGUGACGGCUAACUACGUGCCAGCAGCCGCCGCGG